Molecule: long non-coding RNA, 268 nt
Filed under: Lupinus angustifolius (narrow-leaved blue lupine)
Lineage: Eukaryota; Viridiplantae; Streptophyta; Magnoliopsida; Fabales; Fabaceae
Description: long non-coding RNA (LANG_LNC002330)
Source: RNAcentral
UUUUUCACAUUUUUCUAUAUAUAUUAUCGAGAGAAUGUAUUUGAUUAUUGAUAGGUACAUACUACAUUCUCCGACAUUUGAUUUCGUCUAAAGAGAUAUUCGCUGUGAAGUGCAUCUUUUUCUCGUCCUAGGGUUCGCUUUCAUCAUCGUAGAGAUUUGAUUUGAGAAAUGGCCGGUUUACCUGCGAAGCUUCGUCUUCAACCCUCCGUCGUCAAAUCCGCCGCCUUGUGGGGUGUCGCUGCCGCUACCGGUGGUCUCUACCUCGUUC